This 497-nucleotide ribosomal RNA is filed under the name uncultured bacterium. RNAcentral describes it as "partial 16S ribosomal RNA". It matches the Rfam family "Bacterial small subunit ribosomal RNA", at positions 28 to 507 of the family's 1533-position model. The record is from RNAcentral.
GAUGAACGCUGGCGGUGUGCCUAAUACAUGCAAGUCGAGCGAACAGACGAGGAGCUUACUCCUCUGACGUUAGCGGCGGACGGGUGAGUAACACGUGGAUAACCUACCUAUAAGACUGGGAUAACUUCGGGAAACCGGAGCUAAUACCGGAUAACAUGUUGAACCGCAUGGUUCAACAGUGAAAGACGGUCUUGCUGUCUCUUAUAGAUGGAUCCGCGUCGCAUUAGCUAGUUGGUAAGGUAACGGCUUACCAAGGCAACGAUGCGUAGCCGACCUGAGAGGGUGAUCGGCCACACUGGAACUGAGACACGGUCCAGACUCCUACGGGAGGCAGCAGUAGGGAAUCUUCCGCAAUGGGCGAAAGCCUGACGGAGCAACGCCGCGUGAGUGAAGAAGGUCUUCGGAUCGUAAAACUCUGUUAUUAGGGAAGAACAAAUGUGUAAGUAACUAUGCACGUCUUGACGGUACCUAAUCAGAAAGCCACGGCUAACUACGUG